UCAAAUCCCAUAGAUAUGAAGAUCAAAUAUUGAUAAUGGAAAUGGUUAUUAGGUUUCUGUUUUUUCCUUCAAUCACCUAAGGUUAACUCAGAAAAAAGAUUGAAUCACUUACAUUUCUCCUCCUCACUCUUGAAGAUGUGGCUGACCCUCCUGUGCUAGUUUGUCCUGAAAGAAGAUCCAAAGUGCCCAUAGACUGAACAUGUUCGCCAGUGGUGGAAUGUGUACCAGGAGUGCCUCCACUCAAAGGACCUUCUUGCCAGACCUGGUUCACGGUUGUAAGGCUGGAGGAGAGCUCCAAAGUGGCAUAUAUGAUCAUCUCACCGUUGCUGUUCUCUGCUUCGAUCUUUGGUACUGAAAAGCUCAAAGAACCAGGCGCCAACGUAGUGCUAUAACUAGACACCGGAGAGGUGUAUGCAUAGGGGGCACUGGAGUUCACAUAUGCCACAAGAGACUGUGCCCCCACCAUACCUGUACUAUUCAGGUUGAUGGCCCAAGCAAUCCAAUUUGUCGACGAAAAGUCAGGCUGCCUGUAUGCAAUUUCCAAAGUUCCAUUUGUGUGGCGAGUCCAGUGGAUGAAAGAACCCAAUUCGGAGAGGUCAGUGCAAGAGGUAUAGAGGUUAUUGUUGGAGAAGGUGUAGCUCCCACAUGUCUGAGCAGAAGAUGAUACCAACAUAGAAACCAAAGCACAUGAAACCAACAAAAUUCUCAAAGACCCAUCCAUGGUGGCUGAAUUCAAGGAUACCCAGAGGCCAAAACCUCAACAAAAACAACCUUUCAGAAUCUGGGUGUUCUCAGAUGGCACUGAAACAGGUCCCUGAGGUGUUUUCUCAAUUUGGGUACUUGAAGAACAAGCUCAAUGUGAUGAAUGAAGAAGAGGGGUUCCCUCAAAGAAUAUAUAUAUAGAAGGAUUGUUGGAGAAGAGUUGGGGUGGUUGACUGGUUCUCUCCAUUGAAUGCUGUGUCUAUAUAUUGACACGGCCUCCGUAAGGGAGAGAGGGCAGUAAUGGAAGCAGGCGAGAAGGUGUAGGCACCUGUGAAAUUUCAAAGUUUGAAACUCUGUAGUAUGCGGUGGGGCCACGCACCUUCAACUACUCCUCGUGUUCACAUCUACUUUGUCCAACUUUCCUAAAACUAGUUCAUAUUCUGACUUUUUUCUCAUGUUUCCGCCACCAAAUCUAUUGAAAAAUGACACGAGAAAAAUGGAGAUGCUCAUUCCAC
This 1217-nucleotide long non-coding RNA is filed under the name Vitis vinifera (wine grape). Its description in RNAcentral is "long non-coding RNA (VVIN_LNC003763)". The record is from RNAcentral. Lineage: Eukaryota; Viridiplantae; Streptophyta; Magnoliopsida; Vitales; Vitaceae.